CUGAGCCCCAGUUCCCGACUCUCUCUGCCUCCUGAAAACACUCCGGCAGCCUGAUCCACAAAAAGGGGAGAACAGCCAAACUUCGAAGGGGAGAACCCAGCAGCUAAACCCCCCCCCUCUCAGAUCCAGACCAGAGGGGGCUGGGGGGAUUUUCACCGGUGCAGAAAGAAGAAACAGGUCACAUGAUGAUUCAGGAGGAAUAGGAUGUGAAAGCACUUGUUAUUUGCAGUCUGUGUUCUACAUGCAAGCCAUGAUGUAAUAUGGCUUUUUAUUCCUAUGUGAUGAUGAAAAAUAUUCAUGUAGGAAUAGAAGCUAUUUUACAGGUGGUGAGAGAGCAGCAUAACACAAGGAGAGCCCCUGGCCACACACAGAGACAGAUGCGCGGUUGGAUAUGUAUGGAUAUAAAAUGUAUCUGUCUUCUGUUAAAUGCUUCCCUGUAG
This is a long non-coding RNA of Cyprinodon variegatus (sheepshead minnow), 440 nucleotides long. RefSeq lists it as uncharacterized. The record is from RefSeq and is a predicted model, not a curated record. The transcript has 3 exons. Lineage: Eukaryota; Metazoa; Chordata; Actinopteri; Cyprinodontiformes; Cyprinodontidae.